AUGAACAGGAGCGCCAUGGGGGAGGACCUCUUCUGGGCUAUCCGUGGCGGAGGCGGCGAGAGCUUCGGCGUCGUGCUGUCGUGGAAGGUGCGGCUAGUCCCCGUGCCGGAGACCGUCACAGUGUUCAGCAUCAUCCGGUCAAGGAACCAAUCCGCCAUCGAAUUGAUUACCAAAUGGCAAGAGGUGGCGCCGGUUUUACCGCAAGACCUGUACCUCCGCGUGCUCGUGCUGAACCAGCAGGCCAAUUUCCAGGCGCUGUUUCUUGGCCGGUGCGGCGACCUCCAUCGGCUCAUGCAAGAUCGCUUCCCAGAGCUUGGAAUGACGGAGCAAAACUGCCGGGAGAUGAGCUGGGUCCAGUCCACGGUCUUCUUCGGCUUCUCCGCGACGUCCGUACCACUGAAGCAGCUCCUCAACAGGAGCAGCAAUCCGCGCUACUAUCUCAAGGUCAAGUCCGACCACGUGCAAGAGCCCAUUCCAAGGGACGUGUGGGAGAGCAUAUGGACGGCAUGGCUCGAGAAGCCGGAGGCCGCGCUGCUCAUGCUGGACCCUUACGGUGGCUUGAUGAGCAGCAUCUCGCCAUCGGAAACGCCGUUCCCGCACCGGCAGGGGAACCUUUACCAGCUCCAGUACUACUCCUUCUGGUACGAGAACGGGACGGCAGCAGCGGAGAAGCGAAUGAGCUGGGUCAGGGGACUGUACAAGGAGAUGGAGCCUUACGUGUCCAGCAACCCAAGGGCUGUGUAUGUCAACUACAGGGACCUUGACCUGGGGACGAAUGAGUUGGACGGUGACGUGACGAGCUAUGACAAGGCUAGAGUCAGCUGGGGAGACAAGUAUUUCAAAGGAAAUUUUAAGAGGCUGGCAGCUGUGAAGGCCAUGGUGGAUCCCCAUGAUUUCUUCAGGAAUGAGCAGAGCAUCCCUCCUCUUCCCGCUGCCAAAAUGAUACCGUAG
This 951-nucleotide ribosomal RNA is filed under the name Triticum aestivum (bread wheat). Its description in RNAcentral is "partial small subunit ribosomal RNA". Lineage: Eukaryota; Viridiplantae; Streptophyta; Magnoliopsida; Poales; Poaceae. The record is from RNAcentral.